RNAcentral lists this ribosomal RNA (253 nucleotides) under uncultured bacterium. Its description in RNAcentral is "partial 16S ribosomal RNA". It matches the Rfam family "Bacterial small subunit ribosomal RNA", at positions 524 to 776 of the family's 1533-position model. The record is from RNAcentral.
UACAGAGGGUGCAAGCGCUAAUCGGAAUUACUGGGCGUAAAGCGUGCGUAGACGGUUAUGUAAGUCAGAUGUGAAAGCCCCGGGCUCAACCUGGGAAUUGCAUUUGAGACUGCAUAGCUAGGGUGCGGAAGAGGGAAGCGGAAUUUCCGGUGUAGCGGUGAAAUGCGUAGAUAUCGGAAGGAACACCAGUGGCGAAAGCGGCUUCCUGGUCCAGCACCGACGUUCAGGCACGAAAGCGUGGGGAGCAAACAGG